Molecule: ribosomal RNA, 497 nt
Filed under: uncultured bacterium
Lineage: Bacteria
Description: partial 16S ribosomal RNA
Rfam family: Bacterial small subunit ribosomal RNA
Source: RNAcentral
GAUGAACGCUGGCGGCGUGCCUAAUACAUGCAAGUCGAGCGAACAGACGAGGAGCUUGCUCCUCUGACGUUAGCGGCGGACGGGUGAGUAACACGUGGAUAACCUACCUAUAAGACUGGGAUAACUUCGGGAAACCGGAGCUAAUACCGGAUAAUAUAUUGAACCGCAUGGUUCAAUAGUGAAAGACGGUUUUGCUGUCACUUAUAGAUGGAUCCGCGCCGCAUUAGCUAGUUGGUAAGGUAACGGCUUACCAAGGCAACGAUGCGUAGCCGACCUGAGAGGGUGAUCGGCCACACUGGAACUGGGACACGGUCCAGAAUCCUACGGGGGGCAGCAGUAGGGAAUCUUCCGCAAUGGGCGAAAGCUUGACGGAGCAACGCCGGGUGAGUGAUAAAGGUCUUCGGAUCGUAAAACUCUGUUAUUAGGGAAGAACAAAUGUGUAAGUAACUAUGCACGGCUUGACGGUACCUAAUCAGAAAGCCACGGCUAACUACGUG